RNAcentral lists this ribosomal RNA (260 nucleotides) under uncultured Planctomycetota bacterium. RNAcentral describes it as "uncultured planctomycete partial 16S ribosomal RNA". It matches the Rfam family "Bacterial small subunit ribosomal RNA", at positions 927 to 1181 of the family's 1533-position model. The record is from RNAcentral. Lineage: Bacteria; Pseudomonadati; Planctomycetota.
AAGCGGUGGAGGAUGUGGCUUAAUUCGAGGCUACGCGAAGAACCUUAUCCUAGUCUUGACAUGCACGGAUUAACCUCUGGAAACAGAGGCCACGCCUUCGGGUGGAACGUGCACAGGUGCUGCAUGGCUGUCGUCAGCUCGUGUCGUGAGAUGUCGGGGUAAGUCCCUUAACGAGCGAAACCCUUGUCACUAGUUGCCAGCGCGUCAUGGCGGGGACUCUAGUGAGACUGCCGGUGUUAAACCGGAGGAAGGUGGGGAUG